Molecule: ribosomal RNA, 496 nt
Filed under: uncultured bacterium
Lineage: Bacteria
Description: partial 16S ribosomal RNA
Rfam family: Bacterial small subunit ribosomal RNA
Source: RNAcentral
GACGAACGCUGGCGGCGUGCCUAAUACAUGCAAGUCGAACGAGAGCAACCGGUGCUUGCACUGGUCAAUCUAGUGGCGAACGGGUGAGUAACACGUGGGUAACCUGCCCAUCAGAGGGGGAUAACAUCCGGAAACGGAUGCUAAAACCGCAUAGGUCUUCGAACCGCAUGGUUUGAAGAGGAAAAGAGGCGCAAGCUUCUGCUGAUGGAUGGACCCGCGGUGCAUUAGCUAGUUGGUGAGGUAACGGCACCAAGGCCGUGAUGCAUAGCCGACCUGAGAGGGUGAUCGGCCACAUUGGGACUGAGACACGGCCCAAACUCCUACGGGAGGCAGCAGUAGGGAAUCUUCCGCAAUGGACGCAAGUCUGACGGAGCAACGCCGCGUGAGUGAAGAAGGUUUUCGGAUCGUAAAACUCUGUUGUUAGAGAAGAACAAGUGCUAGAGUAACUGUUAGCGCCUUGACGGUAUCUAACCAGAAAGCCACGGCUAACUACGUG